Molecule: small nuclear RNA, 107 nt
Filed under: Dasypus novemcinctus (nine-banded armadillo)
Lineage: Eukaryota; Metazoa; Chordata; Mammalia; Cingulata; Dasypodidae
Source: RNAcentral
GCGCUCACUUCGGCAGCACAUGUACUAAAAUUGGAACAAUACAGAGGCGAUUAGCAUGGUCCCUGUGCCAGGAUAACGAGAAAAUUCAUGAAGCAUUCCAUAUUAAG